This 571-nucleotide long non-coding RNA is filed under the name Homo sapiens (human). RNAcentral describes it as "HSALNT0251704". Lineage: Eukaryota; Metazoa; Chordata; Mammalia; Primates; Hominidae. The record is from RNAcentral.
GCGGUUUACAUUUGGACUUCACCUCUAUGCGAGCUGCAGUCUUGGGAUGUCAAUAUCACAUGGCAGACGGUUUUUCCUCCGGCAGAUGAGCAAAAGACACCGGCAAGUAUCCAUGUUCUUGUUCUGAGGGGCAUGCCAUCAGGAUUCUGCAAUGCUGAUUUCAGCACCAUCCUGCUGGACUAUGAAAAUGUCUGGUGCCUUCUGGGCAUUUUAUCUACUUGGAGGAUCAAGUGCAUCAACCUGGGAAAUCUUUGGCUGCCAGUGCCAUUGGGCCACAGCCCGCCCUGUGGUGACCUUUCCCACCGCCUUCCUGCAGACACACAGCAGGUCCCCAGAGAUGGCUGUCAACUGCAGCAGCCACCACAUAAAAUCAGGUUCCGGUAUUGCUGAAGAGCUUCACCUUGCCUUAAUACAGCGUCCGGGGGAAGGUUUGCCAGGACCAGACAAUGCCUUCCUCUUUGUCUCCCUUCUCAGCUCUAUUUUUCUGCCUGUUCCUGACUUUGUUCUUUGUUAGAAAGGUCCAGAGUGGCAGAGCAGUGGCUGCUGUUGUGCAAGACAUGUAAUUUUGACC